This 800-nucleotide ribosomal RNA is filed under the name uncultured archaeon. Its description in RNAcentral is "bacterial SSU rRNA". It matches the Rfam family "Archaeal small subunit ribosomal RNA", at positions 76 to 879 of the family's 1478-position model. The record is from RNAcentral.
AUUGCCCUUACGGCUCAGUAACACGUGGAUAACAUGCCCUAAGGUGGGGGAUAAUCUCGGGAAACUGAGGGUAAUACCCCAUAGGUCUGAUAUGCUGGAAUGCUUUCAGGCCGAAAACUCCGGUGCCUUAGGAUUGGUCUGCGGUCUAUCAGGCUGUAGUGGGUGUAACGGACCCACUAGCCCGUGACGGAUAUGGGCCUUGAGAGAGGGAGCCCAGAGAUGGACUCUGAGACAUGAGUCCAGGCCCUACGGGGCGCAGCAGUCGCGAAAACUUCGCAAUGGGGGCAACCCCGACGAGGGAAUUCCAAGUGCCAGCACUUUGUGUUGGCUGUUCUCCUGUCUAAAAAACAGGAGGAGUAAGGGGCGGGUAAGACGGGUGCCAGCCGCCGCGGUAAUACCCGCGCCCCUAGUGGUGGUCGAUAUUAUUGAGCCUAAAACGUCCGUAGCCGGUCUUUUAAAUCCUUGGGUAAAUCGGGCAGCUUAACUGUCCGAAGUCCGGGGAGACUGGAAGACUUGGGACCGGGAGAGGUCAGAGGUACUUCUGGGGUAGGGGUAAAAUCCUGUAAUCCUGGAAGGACCACCGGUGGCGAAGGCGUCUGACUAGAACGGAUCCGACGGUGAGGGACGAAGCCCUGGGGCGCAAACGGGAUUAGAUACCCCGGCAGUCCAGGGUGUAAACGCUGCGGGCUUGGUGUUGGGGGUCCUUAGUGGGCGCCCAGUGCCGGAGAGAAGUUGUUAAGCCUGCUGCUUGGGGAGUAUGUCCGCAAGGAUGAAACUUAAAGGAAUUGGCGGGGGAGCAC